UUCCUGGCUCACGCAGAAAGUAGCUUGCUACUUUUGCCGGCGAGCGGCGGACGGGUGAGUAAUGCCUGGGAAAUUGCCCAGUCGAGGGGGAUAACAGUUGGAAACGACUGCUAAUACCGCAUACGCCCUACGGGGGAAAGCAGGGGACCUUCGGGCCUUGCGCGAUUGGAUAUGCCCAGGUGGGAUUAGCUAGUUGGUGAGGUAAUGGCUCACCAAGGCGACGAUCCCUAGCUGGUCUGAGAGGAUGAUCAGCCACACUGGAACUGAGACACGGUCCAGACUCCUACGGGAGGCAGCAGUGGGGAAUAUUGCACAAUGGGGGAAACCCUGAUGCAGCCAUGCCGCGUGUGUGAAGAAGGCCUUCGGGUUGUAAAGCACUUUCAGCGAGGAGGAAAGGUCAGUAGCUAAUAUCUGCUGACUGUGACGUUACUCGCAGAAGAAGCACCGGCUAACUCCGUGCCAGCAGC
This 467-nucleotide ribosomal RNA is filed under the name Aeromonas dhakensis. RNAcentral's name for it is "bacterial SSU rRNA". It matches the Rfam family "Bacterial small subunit ribosomal RNA", at positions 60 to 515 of the family's 1533-position model. The record is from RNAcentral. Lineage: Bacteria; Pseudomonadati; Pseudomonadota; Gammaproteobacteria; Aeromonadales; Aeromonadaceae.